This is a long non-coding RNA of Carassius auratus (goldfish), 2446 nucleotides long. NCBI's taxonomy places the organism in Eukaryota, Metazoa, Chordata, Actinopteri, Cypriniformes, Cyprinidae. The record is from Ensembl.
UGAAUUAGAAUUUUGACUAGGCAAAUCAUAUUUAAAGAUAUCUUGAAUUGGAAUUAUGACUAGUCAAAACCCAUUUAAAGAUAUCUGCAAUUUAAUUAUGGAUAUCCCAAUCAGAUUUGUGACUAGGAAGAUCUUUCUUUGUAGAUAUCUGCAUUUAGCUUUGUGACUAGGACAAAUCUCAAUAGAGAUAUCUUGAAUAAACAUUCUGCCCAGUCAAAAAAAGAAAAAAGAUAUCUUAAUAGUGUAUUCAAAUCACCCUUUGCUAAUCCCCGCCUUUUCUUUCUUGCCAACCAAUAGGCAUAUGCCAUUUCAAAACACACCGGUCUUCAGGAGCGCGCCAAAGAAGUCUGAUGACUUGCAUACUCUGGAUUGAUCUUUUACAGGUUUCUGCAUCUUUUGGUGUAUUGCAUUAGUACACAAAACAAAACUAUUCUGCAUAGGUGAAUAGUUUUAUUAUUACUUUAUUUAAUGGACUGCCUAGGAUAAUAUCUGUGGUCAGACUGAAAUACAUGAUGGCAAGUUUUAAUAAUUUUUUGUCCUAUACUGUUUGACCUAUUUUAAGUAAAUUUUCUAACGCAUGUAAUGUUUCUCUCAGUUUUCUGUCAGCCAACAAGACAGCUUACCAUGUCAUCAGAGCAAGAACCUCCGUCAGCAAUAUUUGACAGAGUUUUUAAUACAAUUUCAAGAGCCAGACGAGAGCUUUCAAAUAACAAUAAUGAUGACCUACUUUCUUCAACUAGACGCCUUUUCCGGCGUCAGGUGCAUCAACUUCGCAGAACACCGGGGAGGCAGGAAAAUGCUGUUUGGCAGACCCACCUUUUCCUCCUUCCUGGCCCAGAUAUUGAGGUUUUACCCUCUACAACAGAGCUUGAACGGUUUGCACAGUUGGGUUUAGGUAGACCAGUGCAGGAAACAUCUGGGACAGGAACCCAAAGAUCAAAAAUUCCACUAAAUUGGACUCUGUCUGAAUUAAAUAACUUUGUCUGCCAGUGCUACCCAAAUGUGAGUUUAAACUUAAUAGGUUUCCAUUUGGCAAGAGCAGGCAAAGGACGCAAGAUCCAAAAAGUUCAUGUAAAUUCUAUGAGGGAUUUAAAAAAAGCAGUUGGCAAAAGCAGGCUCUAUAUUGUCCCACGAGCUGAAGUUUUGCAGGUAUGACUUUGCAGAACAAAGGCACAAUACUCAAAUGAAAGAUCCAUUUCUUUAUGAUAUGACAAGUAGAAUUGGAUUUUAAUUUAACCUUAAUGUACAUUUAAAGGGGUCUUAUUAUGCUCUUUUACAAAGUCUUGAUUUAGUUUUGGGGGUGUACUGGAACAGGUUCUCAUACUAGGUUGUUCGAAAAACACAUUAUUUGAAACAUAUUUUACAUUAUUAAAACACCUCUCUCCCCAGUCUGGCAUGAACAGCUUCAAAUGAAGGCCCGCCUUCUGAAAAACGAAAUGUGCUGUGAUUGGUUAGUUGGGCCAGUGUGUGCUGUGAUUAGUUAGCUGGGCAAGUGUGUGUUGUGAUUGGCAGCACUUGGCGCCUGCUCGGGAAAUGUAAUGCCCCUUACCAUAGCCGCCUGGCAGCUUCACUGUAAAUAUUGUCAGAAUCAAAUCAAUCUGAGCGUGAUUUAAACCCGGAUGAUUGUAACUACUCUAAAUUUGCCUAGCUUGGGAAAGCUAGCGUGUCUCUGACACAGUAAUAACACUCAAUAACCUUCUCUAGUGCAGCUCAACCAGGUCUUGUCCCAUAUGUCAAUAUCUGUGAUAUCACAAAUCCCGGAAAAUAUGCGUUGUAGUCCAAACGAGUCAUUCUUUGUACUUUUUGAAAAGUGAUUUCUGUUAAAUAAAAUAUCUCCUUUUGAAUUGGACUUUGAGCUUUGUAACUUUGCAGAUCUUUCGUAUGCUCAAACAGCAUCAUUACAGACUAACUAAAGAUGAAAAAGUGAAAAAGCAUAAUAGGACCCCUUUAAAAGGUUACAUUUUAGUUCACAUUCUUUGCUUUCAAUUAAAGCUGCAGUCCAUAACUUUUGGCGCUCUAGCGGUUAAUAAACAGAACUGCAUGCAUCUUGCGGAAGAACACUGUAGCUGGAGCUACUUCUCUGUUUAUGUCUAUGGCAAAUUACACAGGUACUGGGCUACUCCGCAGCAGUACCUACCCAAACCAGUCUAAAUAGUCCGAAUAUAAACACUUAUUACAGGUGUACCGUAGUGAUUCAGGACAAGCCAAAAACAUUGUUUGGAAAAUUGAUUCAUGGUGUACUGGCUUAUUAUAGAAAUUUUGUAAAUGUUAAACACAAAAAAGUUAUGGACUGCAGCUUUAAAUCUUAUUGUGAUGUUUCUGCACAGCGAACAUUUUUUUGCUAGGUGACAGUACAAAUAACUUAUAAUUUUAUGACAGUACAAAUAAAAUUACAGUGCAGUGAGCCAAUGUAUUCUUUGUUAUUGUUAUACACUGAGUUUGAGAG